UUUAGGGUUAAGUUGCCAAGAAAAUUGAUGAAUUCAAUAGAGUUUCUUUCUCAUUGCAUUGAUUCAGCGGAAUGGUUUUAUUAAAAUUGAUGCAAUUACUUCUCUGAAACCGGUUGUUUAAUGGGCGCAUGCUUGAAUUUUGUUCAUCUUGUUGCUGCUCCUAUGAUUUACGGCUUUCCAAUCAAACAAUUCAUAACGUCUUGCAUUGUCAACCGGAAAAAAAAAAAACUUGUUUGACGCUGAAUAUGAGAAAUGCUUGUGUAUUGAACAAGAGCCCAGUUCUUGGCAGCAUGAACUUUGAAAUAUUUCUCACAUAGUUGAUCUCUUAUCAGUAGUAAGAUGCUGUUUUGAAAGUAACUGGUUUAAUUUUAGCUUAUGCUUUUGGGUUUGAGAUAAUUUAACAUGAUAUUAGAUCAUUUAGUAUUCAAACAUGGCAAUGUGAUUUCCUUUUCAAUUACUAUUGACAUCACUUGUUUGAUCAACAUAAUCUUGAAAUCUACAAGUGAGAGGAAUAUUAGGAAGACAUAAAGCUUCGUGCGGUAACUAUUUAAUUUUGGAUUUUAGUCUUUGAAAAUUAAGUGUAUAAACAUUCAUUCCACCUCUAAAUUACUUUCUUAUUUACUUUAUACCUAUGAAAAUUUUUGAAGACUAAAGUAAAGAACUAUGGUAGGAAAUUGAGAGGAAAUAAGAUUGAUUUCCAAAAACUAAACAAAAAGCCAAAUUCAAAUGGUUAUUAAAGGGGUCAAAACACUUGAAUUUAACACCAUGAGGCUGUAAGUUGCUUGUACAUUUUUGUAUUUGAC
This 803-nucleotide long non-coding RNA is filed under the name Cucumis sativus (cucumber). RNAcentral's name for it is "long non-coding RNA (CSAT_LNC001231)". Lineage: Eukaryota; Viridiplantae; Streptophyta; Magnoliopsida; Cucurbitales; Cucurbitaceae. The record is from RNAcentral.